This 117-nucleotide ribosomal RNA is filed under the name Amborella trichopoda. Lineage: Eukaryota; Viridiplantae; Streptophyta; Magnoliopsida; Amborellales; Amborellaceae. The record is from RNAcentral.
UUUGGUGCUCUAGGCGUAGAGGAACCACACCAAUCCAUCCCGAACUUGGUGGUUAAACUUUACUGCAGUGACGAUAUUGUGGGGGGGGUCUUGCAGAAACAUAGCUCAACGCUAAGA